This 468-nucleotide ribosomal RNA is filed under the name uncultured bacterium. RNAcentral's name for it is "partial 16S ribosomal RNA". It matches the Rfam family "Bacterial small subunit ribosomal RNA", at positions 28 to 507 of the family's 1533-position model. The record is from RNAcentral.
GACGAACGCUGGCGGCGUGCUUAACACAUGCAAGUCGAACGGAAAGGCCCUGCUUUUGUGGGGUGCUCGAGUGGCGAACGGGUGAGUAACACGUGAGUAACCUGCCCUUGACUUUGGGGUAACUUCAGGAAACUGGGGCUCAUAGCGGAUAAGAGCUCCCGCUGCAUGGUGGGGGUUGGAAAGUUUCGGCGGUUGGGGAUGGACACGCGGCUUAUGAGCUUGUUGGUUGGGUAGUGGGUUACCAAGGCUUUGACGGGUAGCCGGCCUGAGAGGGUGACCGGCGACAUUGGGACUGAGAUAGGGCCCAGACUCCUACGGGAGGGAGCAGGGGGGAAUAUUGCACAAUGGGCGGAAGCCUGAUGCAGCAACGCCGCGUGCGGGAUGACGGCCUUCGGGUUGUAAACCGCUUUCGCCUGUGACGAAGCGUGAGUGACGGUAAUGGGUAAAGAAGCACCGGCUAACUACGUG